GUGCCAGCAGCCGCGGUAAUACGGAGGGCGCAAGCGUUGUUCGGAAUCACUGGGCGUAAAGCGCGUGUAGGCGGCCGGGCAAGUCGGAUGUGAAAUCCCGAGGCUCAACCUCGGAACUGCAUUCGAAACUGCUCGGCUCGAGUCCCGGAGAGGAUGGCGGAAUUCCCGGUGUAGGGGUGAAAUCCGUAGAUAUCGGGAGGAACACCAGUGGCGAAGGCGGCCAUCUGGACGGUGACUGACGCUGAGACGCGAAAGCGUGGGGAGCAAACAGGAUUAGAUACCCUGGUAGUCC
RNAcentral lists this ribosomal RNA (292 nucleotides) under uncultured bacterium. RNAcentral describes it as "partial 16S ribosomal RNA". It matches the Rfam family "Bacterial small subunit ribosomal RNA", at positions 505 to 796 of the family's 1533-position model. The record is from RNAcentral.